GACGAACGCUGGCGGCGUGCUUAACACAUGCAAGUCGAACGGACAGGCCCUGCUUUUGUGGGGUGCUCGAGUGGCGAACGGGUGAGUAACACGUGAGUAACCUGCCCUUGACUUUGGGAUAACUUCAGGAAACUGGGGCUAAUACCGGAUAGGAGCUCCUGCUGCAUGGUGGGGGUUGGAAAGUUUCGGCGGUUGGGGCUGGACUCGCGGCUUAUCCGCUUGUUGGUGGGGUAGUGGCUUACCAAGGCUUUGACGGGUAGCCGGCCUGAGAGGGUGACCGGCCACAUUGGGACUGAGAGACGGCCCAGACUCCUACGGGAGGCAGCAGUGGGGAAUAUUGCACAAUGGGCGGAAGCCUGAUGCAGCGACGCCGCGUGCGGGAUGACGGCCUUCGGGUUGUAAACCGCUUUCGCCUGUGACGAAGCGUGAGUGACGGUAAUGGGUAAAGAAGCACCGGCUAACUACGUG
RNAcentral lists this ribosomal RNA (468 nucleotides) under uncultured bacterium. RNAcentral describes it as "partial 16S ribosomal RNA". It matches the Rfam family "Bacterial small subunit ribosomal RNA", at positions 28 to 507 of the family's 1533-position model. The record is from RNAcentral.